Molecule: long non-coding RNA, 332 nt
Filed under: Erythranthe guttata (spotted monkey flower)
Lineage: Eukaryota; Viridiplantae; Streptophyta; Magnoliopsida; Lamiales; Phrymaceae
Description: long non-coding RNA (EGUT_LNC002509)
Source: RNAcentral
AUUAUGAAAACCACUCCGUAUAAACAACUAUAUAAACAUGAAAACCACUAUGUAUAAAACAACUAUAUAAACAUGAAAAGCACUUUAUAUACACAACUAUAUAAACAUCGAAAUUCACUAUGAAUUCUAACAAGAACACAUCAAAAAUUCUGCGAAAAAGAAGAUAUAAAACCACUAUAAAGGACACUCCGUAUAUUUUACGGUUAUUGCUCGUACAAUCACCAUUCUUGAUGGCGCAUUGUUGCUGAUGUAUCGAAAGAAUUUUGCAGUAGCCGUCCACGAGCCGUGGUAUUAAAACACAUCAGACCAAGUUCAACUUCACACACAUAUAC